Marchantia polymorpha subsp. ruderalis is the source of this 96-nucleotide non-coding RNA. NCBI's taxonomy places the organism in Eukaryota, Viridiplantae, Streptophyta, Marchantiopsida, Marchantiales, Marchantiaceae. The record is from the annotation of a GenBank genome assembly.
CGGGUCUUGGGCUCAGAAUCCUUGCAAGUGAUGGGAUUGUCCUCAGUAAUGAAAGCUCAAUCCCCCCAGUCGCAAGGACUCUGACGUACAAGUUUG